CAUAGCGACUAUCGUGGCAUAUCAAUAAGCGGAGGAAAAGAAACUAACAAGGAUUCCCCUAGUAACGGCGAGUGAAGCGGGAAGAGCUCAAAUUUGAAAUCUUAAAGGGUUUCCCUUUACGAAUUGUAGUUUAAAGAAGUGUUUUCUGUUGGAGUUUCGGUAAAAGUUCUUUGGAAUAGGACAUCAUAGAGGGUGAGAAUCCCGUAUUUGACCGUUACUUUCCAGCUGUGUGAUACACUUUCAAAGAGUCGGAUUGUUUGGGAAUGCAGUCCAAAAUGGGUGGUAAAUUUCAUCUAAAGCUAAAUAUUGGCGAGAGACCGAUAGUGAACAAGUACCGUGAGGGAAAGAUGAAAAGAACUUUGAAAAGAGAGUUAAACAGUACGUGAAAUUGUCAAAAGGGAAGCGUUUGACACCAGUGUUGUUUUCUCGAAAAUCAAUUAAAAAGGAUGGAUUUUGUGUUGUAUUGACCUUAAUCAGCUUUCUUCACCUUUUUCUUAGUCUUUUUUAAUGCACUUUUCGUUUAACAAGUCAACAUCAGUUUCUUUUGUUGUAAAAGAGUCAUUGGAAGGUGGCUUUUCUUUCGGAGAAAGUGUUUAUAGCCUUUGGCUUCUGCAAUCGGAGAGAUUGAGGUCUGCAGCGUAGAUCCUUCGGGGUUAGAUACAGUUUGUGCUAAGCUAUAGUUCUUUCAUAGACAACUUGUUGACUAUAGUCUAGUCCUGUAGCUUACUCGCUGAUGCUAUUUUACCUACGCUUAGGAUGUUGACGAGACUGUCGAUCUC
This 779-nucleotide ribosomal RNA is filed under the name uncultured Neocallimastigales. RNAcentral's name for it is "partial large subunit ribosomal RNA". It matches the Rfam family "Eukaryotic large subunit ribosomal RNA", at positions 22 to 646 of the family's 3401-position model. The record is from RNAcentral. Lineage: Eukaryota; Fungi; Neocallimastigomycota; Neocallimastigomycetes; Neocallimastigales.